RNAcentral lists this long non-coding RNA (5982 nucleotides) under Volvox carteri. RNAcentral describes it as "long non-coding RNA (VCAR_LNC003273)". The record is from RNAcentral. Lineage: Eukaryota; Viridiplantae; Chlorophyta; Chlorophyceae; Chlamydomonadales; Volvocaceae.
GGUGGGAAGUCACAGGGUCGUUGUCUGGUCAAAGGCGCGGUGUUUCUCGUCGUGUCGACUUGCAAAUCGGCCUUUCACGAUUGUGAGCGAUGCGACUAAACUUACACAGUUUAGCGAUUGACUGGAGUGCUAGUGGACCCCUAACGGGAGGUCGCGGGAUGCAAGAGACACGCCGACCCACCAAAUCCCCUCCAUUCUGGUUCGAGAGACACUCAUAAUCCAUUCCAGUCAGGGCCUGUACGAUUGGCCAAGGGGUGCGCGUUACACCACACAUGCAGUCUCACAAAAUUCAACCAAGUCUGGUACGGCACAAAUGCAUCCCCACCUGACCCACAAAAUCUGCCCAGUUCUGGUUCCAAUUCUAGUCGGGGAAAUAACUAAUCGGAGGUUGUUCGAUUGUGGAUCGAGGCCGUUGGGCCGAACGGGAGGUAGGCGUGACUACUCUGCUGCUCACACAGCACACAUCGGGGUCCACUGUAACAAUCGCAUCCUCACACAGUCCCGCACCGACACCCCUAGUCAAUACAGCCAUACCGAAGCCGCAUGAGUGAGUGCUAUAACCCUAUGUAUAUAGCGCCUUUUGAAUAUUUAAAUAUUAUCAGUCCUGGUGUCUAUGAGCUCUGUCAUCGUUACCUCCCCUCCCUUGGCACCCUACUUGCUAUAACCCACCCCUUAUACCCACACGUUCUCGUGGUGAUCCGCCGACGGAUCUGCGGCCCCAACCCGGGCUUGGUCGUCAGCGCGGCUCCUUCCUGAUGUAUGUAUGUAUGUAAAUGUACGGAUGGAUGGAUGUGACCACAUGUGUGGUAAUUUAACACACAGCUGACUUGCCAGGAGGUCCAUGACCCACGGGUCGGUGACAUCAGACGGGUCACCAAACUGACCAGGCGUAUUGGCCUUAUCGCUUAUGUGGAUGUAGGUGUGUGUUUUGAUAAUCUUCGAAGCUGCGAGGGUGGCAGGAAAUGCCGAGGGGUGGCGGUGGUUCACGAACAACACCUUUGGUGGUUAACAGAGUCCUGUGAUGGCUCCAGAACCCACCCUUCCAAUACCACCGGUGGAUUGGGGGAAGGUGUCUGGUUUGCCGUACACGUUGCGAUCUAUAUGCCGUGUAAACAUUGUGAUCUAAUCCCUUUCCAGCACAUGUAGCCAGUAUGUAAGUAUGUAUGUGUAUAUGUACGGCGGUUUCCUCUGCAGCAGCACAUCAACACACGAAAUAAGAGGCGCACCUCCCCAGGGCAUUUCCCGAUGUCUACUCCCACCAUGUGUGUGUAUUGAGGUUGGGGGGAGAAGAACCAUAAACCACGAAAUGGAAUUACAGCCCAGUAAUAAGGUAUAUAAACAAAUAAAAUAAAGCAGUGACCCCCAGUACGGCACAUCAGCCCCACUCCACACACCGUACAAUCCCUGUACACACGUUGAAGGGCCCCUUCCCACGCAAUCCGGCGCCUCAUUACCUCAGUCAUCCACCACAUUCACACACUCCAGCUGUAGCAGUCGCUCACCUGACGGGAGGACUGACAGAGCGGAAGCGUGGAGUUAUUAGUCCUCACCGAUGUAGGAAGAAGUCCAACCAAGCGGCAAGCACUAGCGUACAUAAGAUGUGUACGUAACGGUUAGAGACGGCGGCAGCAGAGUCUUGAACUCCGAACACCUAGUAAUGUGAUACGUCAGUGUCUGGCCAGAACACCCCGCCCGGGUAGCUUAUAUCUCGGCCUACCUGCCGGAUAAUCUCUACUACGGACUUUGCCGUACUAGGAUAAUGUUGGUGGGGCCCGGGGCCCCAGCCCGUUAGAUUCGCUUACGAACAGCUGCCCAGUUCGCGACAUGUGACGAAACUCGGAACAUGUACGAAACUUGAGUCAAAUCGUUUACAAAUUAACAGUUAUUGUUAAAAGUAAUCGUUAAAAUAUUCUAAGGGAAAUGUAGCUUGCUACAGUCUCCCCCCUCUGAAGCGAACCGUCCCGGGAGCGUCACUUCUUCUUAGAAGAUUUCCGUCCCUUGGGUUUUUCCGGGGCUUGAGGGUGUUUCUUAGACGCCAGUUUGCGUUCAUAUUCGUCGAUGGAUUCAGCCAAGGGGGUAGACUGGCGAAGGGAUUCCUCUGGUUCAUAGGUAUUAUGACUAGAGUCGUAACCUUCCCAUUUAAUCAAAUACUCUCGACGUGUCUUUCCACGUCCCCCUCGGACUGAAACAUCACGAUGGUCGACAAUAGCUUCGACCAUAAAAUACGGCUCACCCUCAAUGACGAGUGGCGCCGGCGGCUGUCGCUUUACGUCUUCUUUGUACAAUUUCAACAAAGAGACGUGGAAGACCGGGUGUAGGCGGGAGGCCGCCGGUAAGUCCAGUUUUACCGCAGCUUCGCCCACGCGUGCGACAACCGUGUAUGGGCCGAUGAACUUGGGCAUCAGCUUCUUAGUUCCAGGGGUUUUUAAUGUAAUAUUUUUAGUAGAUAACAGCACUUUCUGCCCAACCUCGUAACGCACUGGACGCCUAUGCAUAUCGGCGUCGUCCUUUUGGACUUGUUGCGCAGCCAAGAGACACUUUUUAGCUUUGCUGAUACGCUCACGAAGCAUCGCUUCUUGCUUCUGAGCGGCAGGCACCUUGGUUUUGAGGUGAAGGUCAACCGGCACACGUGGUUGUCGAACACCAUUCAGGGAAAAUGGAGUUGUCCCCAUUGCCUUCUGUUUUGAGUUGUUUAUGGCAAACUCAAUCAGUGGCAAAUGCUCAUCCCAAUCAUCCUGAGUGGGUGAUAUGUAGUGCCUGAGUGUCUCUUCCAGAACGCGGUUCAUGCGUUCCGUUUGCCCGUCUGUUUGCGGGUGAAAAGCUGUGCUCAUAUAGAGGUGGGUGCCCAACAGGCGAAAUGUUUCCUUCCAGAAAUUACUUGUGAAGCGAGAGUCCCGGUCUGAAAUAAUGUUCUUUGGAAGGCCGUGCUGCCUGAAGACGGUAGCCACAAAGAGGCGGGCUACAUCUUCAGCUGUAGCGGUUGUGUGUGUGGGAGCAAAGUGCGUCAUUUUGCUCAGCCGGUCCACGAACACUACAAUCGCAUCGUGCCCAUUGCGGGAUGUCGGUAGCUGCGUAACCAAAUCCAUUGUCACGCUUUCCCACACCUCCGUUGGAAUGGGAAGGGGCUGCAGUAAUCCACCCGGCUUAGCAUUUGUUGGUUUAUUACGCUGACAUUGGGGACAUGAUUUGACGUGUUCUUUAACGCCAGAGUCAAGCCCUGGCCACCAAUAUGAUUGUGCGAUCGCUUGUUUGGUGCGGUCUAUACCGCGGUGGCCUGCGUAAGGGACAUCAUGAUUAGGGUUGGGCAUUUCGUUAGAAUUUUUUCCGUUCUAAUCUAAUUUCUAAUUAGAUUCUAAUUAGAAAUUAGGAUCUAAUAUUAGAAGAAGCUCGACAACUUUUCAGGGAGGGGUCAGUUGAACCUGAAAUUUUGUAUAGGCCAUCACAGAUGUAAACGCACGCAUUUCCAAUUAAAUUUACUCCGGUCGGGUGCCUGGGGAGGGUACCUACCAGCCAAACCCACGCCAGACUUGCUACGGAAACAACCAAGAACGCCGCCAAACCUGUCCUUUUAAGUCCCUACUUGCACAGAAUCACCACAUAACUGCCGGGGGAGUGUUUGCUCGCUAAGGGGAAUGCAAAAACACAGAGAGGAAGGGCUAACGUACGCAAUCGUUCCAACCAUCGAGCUUGCCUUCUGGAAAGUUUAUCAGCGCUUUUCUGCUCUUGCAGAUAGACCAAAGGUUGAUGGUCCGUUACUAGGGUGACAUGACUCGCACCUUCCAAGUAACAACGCCAUUCUUCCAUUGCCAGGACUGUGCCCAAGCAUUCUUGAUCUGUGGUGGAAUAAUUGUAUUCCGCGCUGCUGAAUUUAGAACUUGUAUAAGCAACUGGUCGGUCGUCUUGUAACCAGACAGCACCAGUGCCAUGCAGCGACGCAUCAGACCAAACUACGAAGGGUUUGUCAAGCUCAGGGAGUUUUAAUACUGGUGCAUUUGUCAAGGCAUCUUUCACACCCUGAAAGGCAGUAUCACACUCCUUUGUCCAGUGGAAGGCCCUAUGGCAUAAACAUGCCGGUUACCGACCGUUUGGGGCCCAUUAACCCAACCGGCCGGUUGAAUGGCGUUAACGGCCCGGUUGGGUUAACGGUCGGUUGGGUUAACGGCCAGUUGGGUUAACGAUCAGUUGGGUCAAUGGUCGGUUGGGUUAAUGGGCCCCAAACGGUCGGUAACCGGCAUGUUCAUGCCAUAGGGAGUAUCCCGGUAGCUCGGGAAGCAUCGUUCGCCAAUAUUAAUUCAAGGACUCUAACGCUGCAGGAAAAUUUUAGUAGAAGAUUUAGAACUAUGUAUGUAUUUAGUUUUAGCGUUUGUUCCCGCUUUGAGGGCGUGAAAUGCCGUGUCAUUGUCCCUAAUAAGUCAUUGUCCCGGCAUUUCGGCCGAUGUCCCCAAGCAACUGCUUUGCGUCCAUGUCACUAGAUUGGCGCAAUAGGUUGACAAGGUCGUCCAUAUGGCACCUUUCCUUGGACAAGGCAUCCUCCAAUUGGCACGCGGUAAAUUGACUUAGAUGGUUUGCCCUGGCAAACUUAUGUACUCCAAACUCAUCCACUGGACGAUGCUGGCUGUAUUUCUUGCGUGGGCGAUCUUGUCGCCGACGGGCGAUGUUGUCCAGGGCGUUCCGGUCAAACUCGUAGGCGCCGACCUCAUUACCGUUGUCCAUGGACAUUGUGUUGGAAGGAUACGUUAAGGUUCAGAUAAAAUGAAGAAAUGAAGAAGCGCUCCUUCAUAGUAUGGAGAUGGUGGUUCUGUUCACGGAUGACCGGCCCUAUUAGCCUAUUACUAGGAGGAGGCGAUUUCCAUGAUGGAGUAGUAUUUUGAAAAUCUGUUUGCAUGAUUUUGAAGGGUUUAUAAUUCUAUAAUAUUGCAGUGCAUUCGGUCCUGCAGGCGGGCCGUAUUCUUGCAGUUCUGUGACGCGGCCUGUGGUCAAACAUGAAGCACCCGAGCAUGCCGCAUGUAGCAAAACUGCAUUGGAUUUGAGGUCUACAUAAUCCUGGGUAAUAUUAAAAUUAUUUUGGUGCAACGGCCAACGUCUUUUUAUGAAAUGCGUUCGGACCGCGGGAAGUUGCGAGGCCCGCAGCUGAACUUUGUUGAACGCGGCAUGGNNNNNNNNNNNNNNNNNNNNNNNNNNNNNNNNNNNNNNNNNNNNNNNNNNCUAUGAGCUCUGUCAUCGUUACCUCCCCUCCCUUGGCACCCUACUUGCUAUAACCCACCCNCUUAUACCCACACGUUCUCGUGGUGAUCCGCCGACGGAUCUGCGGCCCCAACCCGGGCUUGGUCGUCAGCGCGGCUCCUUCCUGAUGUAUGUAUGUAUGUAAAUGUACGGAUGGAUGGAUGUGACCACAUGUGUGGUAAUUUAACACACAGCUGACUUGCCAGGAGGUCCAUGACCCACGGGUCGGUGACAUCAGACGGGUCACCAAACUGACCAGGCGUAUUGGCCUUAUCGCUUAUGUGGAUGUAGGUGUGUGUUUUGAUAAUCUUCGAAGCUGCGAGGGUGGCAGGAAAUGCCGAGGGGUGGCGGUGGUUCACGAACAACACCUUUGGUGGUUAACAGAGUCCUGUGAUGGCUCCAGAACCCACCCUUCCAAUACCACCGGUGGAUUGGGGGAAGGUGUCUGGUUUGCCGUACACGUUGCGAUCUAUAUGCCGUGUAAACAUUGUGAUCUAAUCCCUUUCCAGCACAUGUAGCCAGUAUGUAAGUAUGUAUGUGUAUAUGUACGGCGGUUUCCUCUGCAGCAGCACAUCAACACACGAAAUAAGAGGCGCACCUCCCCAGGGCAUUUCCCGAUGUCUACUCCCACCAUGUGUGUGUAUUGAGGUUGGGGGGAGAAGAACCAUAAACCACGAAAUGGAAUUACAGCCCAGUAAUAAGGUAUAUAAACAAAUAAAAUAAAGCAGUGACCCCCAGUACGGCACAUCAGCCCCACUC